AAAUGGAGCACUCGAAUGAGAUUUUAGCAGAGUUUAGAGAUAGUGUUUAGAGCUUAAAGGAGAAUGUAUCUGGGGGGUCUCUUUUAUAGAUGGGAGAGCAUAAUCGAUUGACAGCGACGUCCAUAACUGCCUGGUAGUGGGCCAUUCGGGGCCAUGUGGAGUUUGUUACAGAGAGUGGAGUGGUGUCUGUUAUCACGACUUGCCA
Molecule: long non-coding RNA, 205 nt
Filed under: Elaeis guineensis (African oil palm)
Lineage: Eukaryota; Viridiplantae; Streptophyta; Magnoliopsida; Arecales; Arecaceae
Description: long non-coding RNA (EGUI_LNC066574)
Source: RNAcentral